This 374-nucleotide long non-coding RNA is filed under the name Elaeis guineensis (African oil palm). RNAcentral's name for it is "long non-coding RNA (EGUI_LNC067738)". Lineage: Eukaryota; Viridiplantae; Streptophyta; Magnoliopsida; Arecales; Arecaceae. The record is from RNAcentral.
UCUUCGUCAUCCCUUACUCUCAUUGGGUCACAUAAGGCAGCCUGCAAAAUGCACCUUAAAACUUACCACCAUGGUCCCUAUAUUUUUUCUUUCUGGAGCAUCAUUUCGUGACUCCUUAAACUCCUUCCCUAAUAAUGGUGGUGUGGGUCAUGAAAUGAUGCAUCAUUAAUCUCAAGAAGCUCCUUCAAAGCAUAGUAAAAUGGACAUAUACGUGAGGGAACUGGAUCAGCGGUUCGACUACCAAUGUAAUUAUUUCCUUCAUUUAAAGUUGAAAGACCACUUCAAACUCGAAGUGCGGGGCAAGUAUUGUAGAAGUGACCCAUUGAUCGGAUCAACUUUUUUCAUGAUGAGCACUGUUGGUGCAGAAUUCCGCC